GACGAACGCUGGCGGCGUGCUUAACACAUGCAAGUCGAACGGGUCUGCCCUGUUUUUUGCGGGGUGGGUCAGUGGCGAACGGGUGUGUAACACGUGAGUAACCUGCCCCUCACUUCUGGAUAACCGCUUGAAAGGGUGGCUAAUACGGGGUGUUCUGGCUGUGCCGCAUGGUGUGGCUGGGAAAGAUUCACUUUUGUGGUGUUUUGGUGGGGGAUGGGCUCGCGGCCUAUCAGCUUGUUGGUGGGGUGAUGGCCUGCCAAGGCUUUGACGGGUAGCCGGCCUGAGAGGGUGGGCGGUCACACUGGGACUGAGAUACGGCCCAGACUCCUGCGGGAGGCAGCAGUGGGGGGUAUUGCACAAUGGGCGGAAGCCUGAUGCAGCGACGUCGCGUGAGGGAUGGAGGCCUUCGGGUUGUGAACCUCUUUCGCCGGUGAAGAAGGUCCUGCUCUUUGUGGUGGGGUUGACGGUAGCCGGGUUAUGAAGCGCCGGCUAACUACGUG
This 500-nucleotide ribosomal RNA is filed under the name uncultured bacterium. RNAcentral describes it as "partial 16S ribosomal RNA". It matches the Rfam family "Bacterial small subunit ribosomal RNA", at positions 28 to 507 of the family's 1533-position model. The record is from RNAcentral.